Molecule: ribosomal RNA, 1217 nt
Filed under: metagenome
Description: bacterial SSU rRNA
Rfam family: Bacterial small subunit ribosomal RNA
Source: RNAcentral
UGAGAGGGUGAACGGCCAUACUGGGAUUGAGAUACGGCCCAGACUCCUACGGGAGGCAGCAAAUCGGAAUAAUCGCCAAUGGGAGCAAUCCUGAGCGUGCGACGCCGCGUGAGCGAUGAAGGCCUUCGGGUUGUAAAGCUCUGUGUUAUGGGAAGAAACCCUGAUAGGUGAACAAUCUAUCAGAUUGACGGUACCAUAAUAGAAAGCCCCGGCUAACUACGUGCCAGCAGCCGCGGUAAUACGUAGGGGGCGAGCGUUGUUCGGAAUCACUGGGCGUAAAGGGCGUACAGGCGGCCAUAUAAGUCGGGUGUGAAAUUCUCGGGCUUAACCCGAGACCUGCAUUCGAUACUGCAUGGCUUGAGAUCAGGAGAGGAGAGUGGAAUAUCUGGUGUAGCGGUGAAAUGCGUAGAUAUCAGAUAGAACACCGGUGGCGAAGGCGGCUCUCUGGCCUGAUUCUGACGCUGACGCGCGAAAGCUAGGGUAGCGAACGGGAUUAGAUACCCCGGUAGUCCUAGCCGUAAACGAUGGGUACUAAGUGUAGGAGGUCAUUGACCCCUCCUGUGCUGUAGCUAACGCAUUAAGUACCCCGCCUGGGGACUACGGUCGCAAGACUAAAACUCAAUGUAAUUGACGGGGGCCCGCACAAGCGGUGGAGCAUGUCGCUCAAUUCGAAGCAACGCGAAGAACCUUAUCCAGUGGCUUGACAUCCUCUACAACUGUGGAAACACAGCUUUUCCUUAUGGGACAGAGUGACAGGUGCUGCAUGGCAGUCGUCAGCUCGUGUCGUGAGAUGUUGGGUUAGGUCCCGCAACGAGCGCAACCCCUAUCUUUAGUUGCCAGCGAGUAAUGUCGGGGACUCCAGAGAGACUGCCGGCGAUAAGCCGGAGGAAGGUGGGGAUGACGUCAUGUCCUCAUGGCCCUUAUGCCCUGGGCUGCACACGUGCUACAAUGGUCGGUACAACGGGUCGUGAAACCGUGAGGUGGAACCAAUCCCUAAAAACCGAUCCCAGUUGGGAUUGUAGUCUGCAACUCGACUACAUGAACGUGGAAUCGCUAGUAAUCGCGAAUCAGCAGGUCGCGGUGAAUACGUUCCCGGGCCUUGUACACACCGCCCGUCACACCACGAAAGUUGGUAGCAUUCGAAGCCUGUGAGCUAACCUUCGGGAAGCAGCAGUCGAAAGUGAAACCAAUGAUUGGGGUGAAGUCGUAACAAGGUA